GAUGAACGCUGACAGCAUGCUUAACACAUGCAAGUCCACUUGAACUUCGGUUUGGGUGGCGGACGGGUGAGUAACGCGUAAAGAACUUGCCUCACAGCUAGGGACAACAUUUGGAAACGAAUGCUAAUACCUGAUAUUAUGAUUAUAUGGCAUCGUAUAAUUAUGAAAGCUAUAUGCGCUGUGAGAGAGCUUUGCGUCCCAUUAGCUAGUUGGAGAGGUAACAGCUCACCAAGGCGAUGAUGGGUAGCCGGCCUGAGAGGGUGAUCGGCCACAAGGGGACUGAGACACGGCCCUUACUCCUACGGGAGGCAGCAGUGGGGAAUAUUGGACAAUGGACCGAGAGUCUGAUCCAGCAAUUCUGUGUGCACGAUGAAGUUUUUCGGAAUGUAAAGUGCUUUCAGUUGGGAAGAAAAAAAUGACGGUACCAACAGAAGAAGUGACGGCUAAAUACGUG
Molecule: ribosomal RNA, 454 nt
Filed under: uncultured bacterium
Lineage: Bacteria
Description: partial 16S ribosomal RNA
Rfam family: Bacterial small subunit ribosomal RNA
Source: RNAcentral